This 208-nucleotide long non-coding RNA is filed under the name Elaeis guineensis (African oil palm). RNAcentral's name for it is "long non-coding RNA (EGUI_LNC000169)". Lineage: Eukaryota; Viridiplantae; Streptophyta; Magnoliopsida; Arecales; Arecaceae. The record is from RNAcentral.
UCACGUUGGAUCAUCAUCUAUGUUUUUGUCAUUCGACUUAGAUUUUAUUUACACGUAAGGCUUAAUCAUGGAGAAAAUAUUAAAUUAUUUAGAGAUUUUUAAAUUCAUCUUAAAUUUUAAUUUGAUGCAAUCAGAUCAUCAAACUAUCACAAAAGUUUAAUUCGGAUCCUGACUAUGAAUUUCAUCUGGCUUCAGUUAUGGAAUUGCA